Molecule: ribosomal RNA, 462 nt
Filed under: Paenibacillus mobilis
Lineage: Bacteria; Bacillati; Bacillota; Bacilli; Caryophanales; Paenibacillaceae
Description: bacterial SSU rRNA
Source: RNAcentral
CCUACCGGGGGGGGCWGCCAGUAGGGAAUCUUCCGCAAUGGGCGAAAGCCUGACGGAGCAAUGCCGCGUGAGUGAUGAAGGUUUUCGGAUCGUAAAGCUCUGUUGCCAGGGAAGAACGCUUGGGAGAGUAACUGCUCUCAAGGUGACGGUACCUGAGAAGAAAGCCCCGGCUAACUACGUGCCAGCAGCCGCGGUAAUACGUAGGGGGCAAGCGUUGUCCGGAAUUAUUGGGCGUAAAGCGCGCGCAGGCGGUCAUUUAAGUCUGGUGUUUAAUCCCGGGGCUCAACCCCGGAUCGCACUGGAAACUGGGUGACUUGAGUGCAGAAGAGGAGAGUGGAAUUCCACGUGUAGCGGUGAAAUGCGUAGAUAUGUGGAGGAACACCAGUGGCGAAGGCGACUCUCUGGGCUGUAACUGACGCUGAGGCGCGAAAGCGUGGGGAGCAAACAGGAUUAGAUACCCCC